RNAcentral lists this ribosomal RNA (497 nucleotides) under uncultured bacterium. Its description in RNAcentral is "partial 16S ribosomal RNA". It matches the Rfam family "Bacterial small subunit ribosomal RNA", at positions 28 to 507 of the family's 1533-position model. The record is from RNAcentral.
GAUGAACGCUGGCGGCGUGCCUAAUACAUGCAAGUCGAGCGAACGGACGAGAAGCUUGCUUCUCUGAUGUUAGCGGCGGACGGGUGAGUAACACGUGGAUAACCUACCUAUAAGACUGGGAUAACUUCGGGAAACCGGAGCUAAUACCGGAUAAUAUUUUGAACCGCAUGGUUCAAAAGUAAAAGACGGUCUUGCUGUCACUUAUAGAUGGAUCCGCGCUGCAUUAGCUAGUUGGUAAGGUAACGGCUUACCAAGGCAACGAUGCAUAGCCGACCUGAGAGGGUGAUCGGCCACACUGGAACUGAGACACGGUCCAGACUCCUACGGGAGGCAGCAGUAGGGAAUCUUCCGCAAUGGGCGAAAGCCUGACGGAGCAACGCCGCGUGAGUGAUGAAGGUCUUCGGAUCGUAAAACUCUGUUAUUAGGGAAGAACAUAUGUGUAAGUAACUGUGCACAUCUUGACGGUACCUAAUCAGAAAGCCCCGGCUAACUACGUG